AUUGAACGCUGGCGGCAGGCCUAACACAUGCAAGUCGAGCGGAUGAAGGGAGCUUGCUCUUGGAUUCAGCGGCGGACGGGUGAGUAAUGCCUAGGAAUCUGCCUGGCAGUUGGGGAUAACGUCCGGAAACGGGCGCUAAUACCGCAUACGUUCUGAGAGUGAAAGUGGGGGAUCUUCGGACCACAAGCUAUUUGAUGAGCCUAGGUCGGAUUAGCUAGUUGGUGGGGUAACGGCCUACCAAGGCGACGAUCCGUAACUGAUCUGAGAGGAUGAUCAGUCACACUGGAACUGAGACACGGUCCAGACUCCUACGGGAGGGAGCAGUAGGGAAUAUUCGGCAAUGGGCGAAAGCCUGAUCCAGCCAUGCCGCGUGUGUGAAGAAGGUCUUCGGAUUGUAAAGCUCUUUAAGUUGGGAGGAAGAGCAGUGAAUGAAUACCUUGCUGUUUUGACGUUACCAACACAAUAAGCACCGGCUAACUUCGUG
This 484-nucleotide ribosomal RNA is filed under the name uncultured bacterium. RNAcentral describes it as "partial 16S ribosomal RNA". It matches the Rfam family "Bacterial small subunit ribosomal RNA", at positions 30 to 507 of the family's 1533-position model. The record is from RNAcentral.